Molecule: transfer RNA, 75 nt
Filed under: Pseudomonadota bacterium
Lineage: Bacteria; Pseudomonadati; Pseudomonadota
Also listed under: 1 other name
Description: tRNA-Ile
Rfam family: tRNA
About the family: Transfer RNA (tRNA) molecules are approximately 80 nucleotides in length. Their secondary structure includes four short double-helical elements and three loops (D, anti-codon, and T loops).
Source: RNAcentral
GGGCCGAUAGCUCAACGGCAGAGCAGGGGACUCAUAAUCCCUUGGUUGCAGGUUCGAAUCCUGCUCGGCCCACCA